This 650-nucleotide ribosomal RNA is filed under the name uncultured Galerina. RNAcentral describes it as "eukaryotic LSU rRNA". It matches the Rfam family "Eukaryotic large subunit ribosomal RNA", at positions 1 to 633 of the family's 3401-position model. Lineage: Eukaryota; Fungi; Basidiomycota; Agaricomycetes; Agaricales; Cortinariaceae. The record is from RNAcentral.
UUGACCUCAAAUCAGGUAGGACUACCCGCUGAACUUAAGCAUAUCAAUAAGCGGAGGAAAAGAAACUAACAAGGAUUCCCCUAGUAACUGCGAGUGAAGCGGGGAAAGCUCAAAUUUAAAAGCUGGUGGUCUCAGGCCGCCCGCAUUGUAAUCUAGAGAAGUGUUAUCCGCGCUGGACCGUGUACAAGUCUCCUGGAAUGGAGCGUCAUAGAGGGUGAGAAUCCCGUCUUUGACACAGACUGCCAGGGCUUUGUGAUGCGCUCUCAAAGAGUCGAGUUGUUUGGGAAUGCAGCUCAAAAUGGGUGGUAAAUUCCAUCUAAAGCUAAAUAUUGGCGAGAGACCGAUAGCGAACAAGUACCGUGAGGGAAAGAUGAAAAGAACUUUGGAAAGAGAGUUAAACAGUACGUGAAAUUGCUGAAAGGGAAACGCUUGAAGUCAGUCGCGUUGGCCGGGGAUCAACCUUGCUUUUGCUGGGCGUAUUCUCUGGUUGACGGGCCAGCAUCAAUUUUGGCCGCUGGAAAAAGGUCAAGGGAAUGUGGCAUCUUCGGAUGUGUUAUAGCCCUUGGUUGCAUACAGUGGCUGGGAUUGAGGAACUCAGCACGCCGCAAGGCCGGGUUUUUAACCACGUUCGUGCUUAGGAUGCUGGCAUA